This is a long non-coding RNA of Taeniopygia guttata (zebra finch), 2907 nucleotides long. The record is from Ensembl. Lineage: Eukaryota; Metazoa; Chordata; Aves; Passeriformes; Estrildidae.
UAAUUGUGGUUGUGGCCGAGGGGAGGGCCUACUUGUGGGCGUUUCUCUGCCGCUCCCAGGUGCGGUGGGCGUGGCCGCUGGUGCGGUGGGCGGCGCCGGGGGCGGAGCUCCGGCUGUGGCUGCCCCUGACCGACCUGCGCCCCCCCCCCGCCCGCGCCCCCCCGCCCCGGCGCCGCCCCGAGAGCCUCCGGGCGCACCUGGGGAGACCCCGCGGCUGGGCGGGGCCGGGGGGCGGGGCCAUGGCCUGCGAGCACGUGGAAGGUGAGCAGGGGGAGGGGAAUUGCGGGGUCAUGACCCCCCCGUGACCCCCCCAUGACCCCCCCGUGACCCCCCCGUGACCCCUGUGCCCUCAGUGACGUACGAGGCCGAGGACAUGGGGACCCUCCCCUGCCUGAGCGCCGAGCCGGGGCCCGGCCCGGGGGGCCCCCGCAGCGUCCCCACGUGAGCGGGGGGGUCUUUGGGGGUCUUGGGGGGUUUUUAGAGGGGCCUGGGGGUCUUUGGGGGGUUCUUGGGGGGGGCCUGGGGGUCUUUGGGGGGUCUUGGGGGCUUUUUCGGGGGGGCUGGGGGGUCUUUGGGGGCUCUGAAGGGUCCUGGGGGUGUCUGGGUGGUUCCUGGGGGUCUGUGAUAUGUUUUGAGGGGUCCUGGGGGUCACUCAGGAUCCAUUUUUGGGGAGCGCCCCUCCCCCAGGGGCCCGUGGGGGGGAUUUGGGGGUCCCCCCCCCCCCCCUCCGAUGCUGACCCCCCCCCGCCCCUCCCCCCAGGCUGGAGGUGACGGUGACCCCGACCCCCCCGCGGGGCCCCCCCGCGCCCCCCCCGAGCCCCUUCUCGGCCCGGCGCAGCAUCUACGAGAGCCGCGAGGUGGGACCCCCCCCAAAUUCCCUGGGGGGCCGCUGGGGGUCCCCAAAAUUCCCCCUGGGGGUCUCGGGGGGAGUCCCCAAAAUUCCCCCUGGGAGUCUCGGGGGGGUCCCCAAAUCCCCACGGGGGUCUCGGGGUCCCCCCCAGCCCCCGUAGCCGCCGCCCCUCCCCCAGCUGGUGCUGCCCGGGACCCCCGAGGAGUUGGGGGCGUUCGUGGGGGGGGCCCUGGGCGGGGCCCCCUGGAACCUGCAGGUGACACUGCCCCGAGCACACCUGAGCCUGAGCCCGGGGGGGCUCCUGCAGCGCCUCUACAGCAGGAUCAACAACGACCUCCUGCUGUGGGAGCCGGCCGGCCCCGCCCCCUCCGGAGACCACGCCCACUCCGGAGACCACGCCCCUUCAGGGGUCCACCCCCACUCUGGAGACCACGCCCCCUCCAUAGACCACGCCCCACCAGAAGGCCCCGCCCCCUUCAGGCCGUGCCGGUCGGCGCUGGGCUCAGGUGAGACCCCGGGACCCCCAAAAUCGGGGCUGGGCCCUCGGUGUCCCCGGGUGUGCCCUGGGUAUUCCCUGGGUGUCCCCUGGGUGCCCCUGGGUGUCCCCCGGGUGCCCCCUGGGUGUCCCCCUGACCCCCCCGCUGUCCCCAGACUCGGACGAGGACGACGAGGAUGAGGAUGAGGAGGGGGACAAAGGUUCCGGGGGGUCCCCGCAGGACCCCGGGGACCCCCGCGGGCCCCCCCCGAGCGGCGGCGCCAUCCUGGUCACCGUGCCCUGGGGGCGCGUCACGGCCGAGUGUCCCCCCGAGGUGAGGGCAUGGGGGUCCCCAAUGUCACCUGGGGUCACCCGGGGUCACCCUGGGGGUCCCCAAUGUCACCUGGGGUCACCCGGGGUCACCCUUGGGGUCCCCAAUGUCACCCGGGGUCACCCGGGGUCACCCUGGGGGUCCCCAAUGUCACCUGUGUCACCCUGGGGGUCCCCAAAUGUCACCCGGGGUCACCCGGGGUCACCCUGGGGGUCCCAAACAUCACCCAGGGUCACUCUGGGUGUCCCUAACGUCACCUGGGGUCGCCCUGGGGGUCCCAAAUGUCAUCUGUGUAACCCUGGGGGCCAUCAAAUGUCACCUGGGGUCACCCGGGGUCACCCUGGGGGUCGCCAAGAGUGUCCCCAGGGGCUGUGGGGGAGGGGCAGGGUGUGACACGUUUUCGGGGUGUCCCCAGGGGGGGAGGGGCAGGGUGUGACACGUUUUUGGGGCGUCCCCGGGGGGGAGGGGCAGGGUGUGACACAUUUUUGGGGCGUCCCCAGGGGGGGGUCCCCGGCUCGCGGCUGGAGCUGGAGUUGGGGGAGGGGCGGCUCUGCGUCCUCCCCCGCCCGGGGGGGGUCCGGGGCCGGUCCUGGGCCUGCGCCGACGCCCGGAGCUUCGUCCUGCUGCACGGUACCCCAAAAAUUCCCGAAACUGCCCCAAAAUGGCCCUAAAACUGCCCCAAAACCACUCCAAAACCGCCCCAAAAACUGCCCCAAAACUGCCCUUAAAACUGCCCCAAAAACCACCCCAAAAACUGCCUCAAAAACCACCCCAAACACCACCCCAAAAACCACCCCAAAACCACCCCAAAAAACACCCUAAAACUGCCCCAAAACUGCCCCAAAAACUGCCCCAAAACCGCCCCAAAACUGCCCCAAAACCACCCCAAAACCGCCCCAAAAACUGCCCCAAAACUGCCCUUAAAACUGCCCCAAAAACCGCCCCAAAACUGCCCCGAAACUGCCCCAAAACCUGCCCCAAAACCACCCCAAAAACUGCCCCAAAACUGCCCCAAAACCGCCCCAAAAAACACCCCAAAAACUGCCCCAAAACCGCCCCAAACCCGCCCCAAAAACCACCCCAAAACUGCCCCAACCCUGCCCCAAAACCGCCCCAAAACUGCCCCAAAACCGCCCUAAAAACUGCCCCAAAACCGCCCCAAAACCGCCCCAAAACCACCCCAAAAACUGCCCCAAAACCGCUCCAAAACCGCCCCAAAACUGCCCCAAAACAGGAAUAGGGGACCCCAAA